AGUUCGAUCCUGGCUCAGAUUGAACGCUGGCGGGAUGCUUUUUACACAUGCAAGUCGUGAACGGCAGCACGGACUUCGGUCUGGUGGCGAGUGGCGAACGGGUGAGUAAUGAUCAAACGUGCCUAGUAGCGGGGGAUAAUCCGCGAAAGCGUAGCUAAUACCGCACAACAUCCCUCCGGGAAAGCGGGGGACCUUUCGGGCCUCGCACUAUUAGAUGCGUCUACUAUCGGAUUAGCUAGUUGGUGGUAACGGCUCACCAAGGCGACGACUGCGGCUGGUUUGAGAGGACGACCACAUUUUCACUGGGACUGGAGACACGCCCAGACUCCUACGGGAGUUACAGUGGUGCAAUCUGGGACAAUGGGGGAAACCCUCAUCCUGCUCAUCCCGCGUGUGUGAUGAAGGCCUUUCGGGUUGUAAAGCACUUUUGGCAGGGAAAGAAUGCACGGAUACACCUUCGCAACUGACGGUACCUGCAGAAUACAAGCACCGGCUAACUACGUUUCAGCAGCCGCGGUAAUACGUGAAAGCAAGCGUUAAUCGGAAUUACUGGGCGUAAAGUGUGGUGCGCGGUUUCGAAAGAAAGAUGAACCUAUUUAAUCCUUGAACCGCAUUUAACUACCGAGCUAGAGUGUGUCAGAGGGAGGUGGAAUUCCGCGUGUAGCAGUGAAAUGCGUAGAUAUGCGGAGGAACACCGAUGGCGAAGCAGCCCGGGAUAACACUGACGCUCCGCACCGCGCUGGGAGCAAACAGACUAUUACCCUGUAGUCCACGCCCUAAACGAUGUCAACUAGCUGUUGUGCCUUCGCCUUUGGUAGCUGCGGGCUAACGUUAUGAAGUUGACCGCCUGGGGAGCGCUGGUCGCAAGAUUAAAAACUCAAAGGAAUUGACGGGGACCCGCACAAGCGGUGGAUGAUGUGGAUUAAUUCGAUGCAACGCGAAAACCUUACCUACCCUUGACAUGUGUCUGGAAUCCUGAAGAGAUUUGGGAGUGCUCGCAAGAGAACCGGAACACAGCGGUGUCGUCGUCGUCAGCUCGUGUCGUGAGAUGUUGGGUUAAGUCCUGCAACGAGCGCAACCCUUGUCAUUAGUUGUUACGAAAGGGCACUCUAAUGAGACUGCCGGCGACAAACCCAGAGGAAGGUGGUGAUGACGUCAAGUCUCAUGGCCCUUACAAUAUGUUCACACGUCAUACAAUGGUCGGGACAGAGGUCGCCAACCCGCGAGGGGGAGCCAAUCCCAGAAACCCGAUCAGUCCGGAUCGCAGUCUGCAACCUGGACUGCGUGAAGUCGGAAUCGCUAAUCGCGGAUCAGCAUAAACGGCAAAGAAUACGUUCCCGGGUCUUGCUCACACCGCCCGUCACACCAUGGGAGUGGGUUUUACCAGAAGAAGUUAGUCCCAACCUCGUAAGGAGGGCGAUUACCACGGUAGGAUUCAUGACUGGGGAAGAAGUCGUAACACAGCAA
This 1467-nucleotide ribosomal RNA is filed under the name uncultured Bordetella sp. RNAcentral's name for it is "partial 16S-23S ribosomal RNA intergenic spacer". It matches the Rfam family "Bacterial small subunit ribosomal RNA". Lineage: Bacteria; Pseudomonadati; Pseudomonadota; Betaproteobacteria; Burkholderiales; Alcaligenaceae. The record is from RNAcentral.